AACGAACGCUGGCGGCAUGCUUAACACAUGCAAGUCGAACGGGAACUCCGUGCUUAGUGGCGCACCGCGGGGUGCCACCUGGUAACUUACCCUUAGGUUCGGUACCCCUCACUUUAGGAGAAGUUCAUACAGCUUGAUGUCAUAGGAGAUAGGAUUUACCGCCUCAGGAUGGGCCCGCGUAGGUUUCGCCGGUUGGUAGGGUAAAAGCCUACCAAGGCGACGUUCCAUAGCUCGUCUGAGAGGAGGAUCAGCCAGACUGGGACUACGACACGGCCCAGUCUCCUACGGGAGGCAGCAGUGGGGAAUAUUGGACAAUGGGCGAAAGCCUGAUCCAGCAAUGCCGCGUGAGUGAUGAAGGCCUUAGGGUUGUAAAGCUCUUUUACCCGGGAUGAUAAUGACAGUACCGGGAGAAUAAGCUCCGGCUAACUCCGUG
Molecule: ribosomal RNA, 433 nt
Filed under: uncultured bacterium
Lineage: Bacteria
Description: partial 16S ribosomal RNA
Rfam family: Bacterial small subunit ribosomal RNA
Source: RNAcentral